This 515-nucleotide ribosomal RNA is filed under the name uncultured bacterium. Its description in RNAcentral is "bacterial SSU rRNA". It matches the Rfam family "Bacterial small subunit ribosomal RNA", at positions 28 to 532 of the family's 1533-position model. The record is from RNAcentral.
GAUGAACGCUAGCGAUAGGCCUAACACAUGCAAGUCGAGGGGCAUCACAUGAAGUAGCAAUACGGAUGGUGGCGACCGGCGCACGGGUGAGUAACACGUAUGCAACCUGCCUUCAACAAGGGGAUAACCCGUUGAAAGACGGACUAAUACCCUAUAACACAGGGGUCCCGCAUGGGAAUAUUUGUUAAAGGACAACCGGUUGAAGAUGGGCAUGCGUUCCAUUAGCUAGUUGGCGGGGUAACGGCCCACCAAGGCAACGAUGGAUAGGGGAACUGAGAGGUUUAUCCCCCACACUGGUACUGAGACACGGACCAGACUCCUACGGGAGGCAGCAGUGAGGAAUAUUGGUCAAUGGACGCAAGUCUGAACCAGCCACGUCGCGUGAAGGAAGACGGCCCUACGGGUUGUAAACUUCUUUUAUACGGGAAUAAAGUGCCCCACGCGUGGGGUUUGCAUGUACCGUAUGAAUAAGGAUCGGCUAACUCCGUGCCAGCACCGCGGUAAUUACGCAGCGA